RNAcentral lists this ribosomal RNA (480 nucleotides) under uncultured bacterium. RNAcentral describes it as "bacterial SSU rRNA". It matches the Rfam family "Bacterial small subunit ribosomal RNA", at positions 30 to 506 of the family's 1533-position model. The record is from RNAcentral.
UUGAACGCUGGCGGCAUGCCUUACACAUGCAAGUCGAACGGUAACGCGGGGCAACCUGGCGACGAGUGGCGAACGGGUGAGUAAUACAUCGGAACGUGCCCAGUAGUGGGGGAUAGCCCGGCGAAAGCCGGAUUAAUACCGCAUACGACCUAAGGGUGAAAGCAGGGGACCGCAAGGCCUUGCGCUAUUGGAGCGGCCGAUGUCAGAUUAGCUAGUUGGUGGGAUAAAAGCUUACCAAGCCGACGAUCUGUAGCUGGUCUGAGAGGACGACCAGCCACACUGGGACUGAGACACGGCCCAGACUCCUACGGGAGGCAGCAGUGGGGAAUUUUGGACAAUGGGCGAAAGCCUGAUCCAGCCAUGCCGCGUGCAGGAUGAAGGCCUUCGGGUUGUAAACUGCUUUUGUACGGAACGAAAAGACUCCUUCUAAUAAAGGGGGUCCAUGACGGUACCGUAAGAAUAAGCACCGGCUAACUACGU